This 497-nucleotide ribosomal RNA is filed under the name uncultured bacterium. Its description in RNAcentral is "partial 16S ribosomal RNA". It matches the Rfam family "Bacterial small subunit ribosomal RNA", at positions 28 to 507 of the family's 1533-position model. The record is from RNAcentral.
GACGAACGCUGGCGGCGUGCCUAAUACAUGCAAGUAGAACGCUGAAGCGAGGAGCUUGCUCUUCUUGGAUGAGUUGCGAACGGGUGAGUAACGCGUAGGUAACCUGCCUUGUAGCGGGGGAUAACUAUUGGAAACGAUAGCUAAUACCGCAUAACAAUGGAUGACACAUGUCAUUUAUUUGAAAGGGGCAAUUGCUCCACUACAAGAUGGACCUGCGUUGUAUUAGCUAGUAGGUGAGGUAACGGCUCACCUAGGCGACGAUACAUAGCCGACCUGAGAGGGUGAUCGGCCACACUGGGACUGAGACACGGCCCAGACUCCUACGGGAGGCAGCAGUAGGGAAUCUUCGGCAAUAGGGGCAACCCUGACCGAGCAACGCCGCGUGAGUGAAGAAGGUUUUCGGAUCGUAAAGCUCUGUUGUAAGUCAAGAACGAGUGUGAGAGUGGAAAGUUCACACUGUGACGGUAGCUUACCAGAAAGGGACGGCUAACUACGUG